GGAUGGGUGGCCGAGUGGACUAAGGCGGCAGUCUUGAAAACUGCUGACGUCGAAAGGCGUCCGGGGGUUCGAAUCCCUCCCCAUCCG
RNAcentral lists this transfer RNA (87 nucleotides) under Planctomycetaceae bacterium. Its description in RNAcentral is "tRNA-Ser". It matches the Rfam family "tRNA". From Rfam's summary of the family: Transfer RNA (tRNA) molecules are approximately 80 nucleotides in length. Their secondary structure includes four short double-helical elements and three loops (D, anti-codon, and T loops). RNAcentral also lists the same sequence under 1 other name. The record is from RNAcentral. Lineage: Bacteria; Pseudomonadati; Planctomycetota; Planctomycetia; Planctomycetales; Planctomycetaceae.